UGCAAGUCGAACGAUGAACCACUUCGGUGGGGAUUAGUGGCGAACGGGUGAGUAACACGUGGGCAAUCUGCCCUUCACUCUGGGACAAGCCCUGGAAACGGGGUCUAAUACCGGAUGAUACUUCUGCUCGCAUGGGUGGAGGUUGAAAGCUCCGGCGGUGAAGGAUGAGCCCGCGGCCUAUCAGCUUGUUGGUGAGGUAGUGGCUCACCAAGGCGACGACGGGUAGCCGGCCUGAGAGGGCGACCGGCCACACUGGGACUGAGACACGGCCCAGACUCCUACGGGAGGCAGCAGUGGGGAAUAUUGCACAAUGGGCGAAAGCCUGAUGCAGCGACGCCGCGUGAGGGAUGACGGCCUUCGGGUUGUAAACCUCUUUCAGCAGGGAAGAAGCGAAAGUGACGGUACCUGCAGAAGAAGCGCCGGCUAACUACGUGCCAGCAGCCGCGGUAAUACGUAGGGCGCAAGCGUUGUCCGGAAUUAUUGGGCGUAAAGAGCUCGUAGGCGGUCUGUCGCGUCGGAUGUGAAAGCCCGGGGCUUAACCCCGGGUCUGCAUUCGAUACGGGCAGACUAGAGUGUGGUAGGGGAGAUCGGAAUUCCUGGUGUAGCGGUGAAAUGCGCAGAUAUCAGGAGGAACACCGGUGGCGAAGGCGGAUCUCUGGGCCAUUACUGACGCUGAGGAGCGAAAGCGUGGGGAGCGAACAGGAUUAGAUACCCUGGUAGUCCACGCCGU
RNAcentral lists this ribosomal RNA (730 nucleotides) under Streptomyces sp. YIM 63435. RNAcentral describes it as "bacterial SSU rRNA". It matches the Rfam family "Bacterial small subunit ribosomal RNA", at positions 56 to 803 of the family's 1533-position model. The record is from RNAcentral. Lineage: Bacteria; Bacillati; Actinomycetota; Actinomycetes; Kitasatosporales; Streptomycetaceae.